Drosophila innubila is the source of this 255-nucleotide long non-coding RNA. RefSeq lists it as uncharacterized. The record is from RefSeq and is a predicted model, not a curated record. NCBI's taxonomy places the organism in Eukaryota, Metazoa, Arthropoda, Insecta, Diptera, Drosophilidae. The transcript is spliced from 2 exons.
GCAAUCGAAAUCCCAACAACAACAUCAACAAGAGCAGCAAGUUCACCUACAAGAGCAAGAGGAAGUUGAAAACGCCUAGCAGCUUAAUAAGUUCUUUACAAUUGGACAAUUUCCAUAUAAAAACUAAUUGGGAAUUGUUAAAUUUUCAUUGCGGAUGAGAAAAACUGUUAACAUUAUUGGACACUUAAAACGAAAUGACUUAAAAACCCCACAGUUGUUUAAAAGUUAUGCACAUUAAUUACAAUAAAAAAAAAA